GUCAUACUCCCUCCAUCCAGAAAUAUGUGUCGGAGAAAUGCAUAAAAAUGAAUGUAUCUAGAACUAAAAUACGUCUAGGUACAUUCAUUCCUCUGACAAGUAUUUUCGGACGGAGGGAGUAUAAU
Molecule: non-coding RNA, 125 nt
Organism: Triticum aestivum (bread wheat)
Lineage: Eukaryota; Viridiplantae; Streptophyta; Magnoliopsida; Poales; Poaceae
Source: Rfam